ACUGAGGUCUAUCCCGACUGACCUUUACCUAUAGGGCUGUGUCGUUGGAAAUACCUCACAGAAUAAAUCUGUGGUUACGCUUUACCCACAUGUCCACUCCCAUGAGCAUUGUGGGAUAUUACUGCAGGACACAU
Molecule: small nucleolar RNA, 134 nt
Organism: Gymnodraco acuticeps
Lineage: Eukaryota; Metazoa; Chordata; Actinopteri; Perciformes; Bathydraconidae
Source: RefSeq, a predicted model, not a curated record